CGGCUUCCGGGGCGCGGCCGGGGCGGGCUCCGCGGAUCGCAUCGGCGCGCCGAGCCUGCCCCUUCCGUCGCACCGGGGGUCC
This 82-nucleotide microRNA precursor is filed under the name Suid alphaherpesvirus 1. RNAcentral's name for it is "microRNA prv-mir-LLT10a precursor (prv-mir-LLT10a, prv-mir-LLT10b)". Its record names the gene prv-mir-LLT10a. The record is from miRBase by way of RNAcentral. Lineage: Duplodnaviria; Heunggongvirae; Peploviricota; Herviviricetes; Herpesvirales; Orthoherpesviridae.